This 573-nucleotide long non-coding RNA is filed under the name Haliotis rubra (blacklip abalone). RNAcentral describes it as "uncharacterized LOC124279193, transcript variant X2". Lineage: Eukaryota; Metazoa; Mollusca; Gastropoda; Lepetellida; Haliotidae. The record is from RNAcentral.
UUUUUUGCAGAGAAACUGUUAAAUGACAACAAAACAGAGAUAUUCGUCUCAGGGAUGUAGAGGCAGCUCAAGCCAAAAAAGCGUCGGAGCCGAGUGUAGAUUGUGGUUCUCCAACUCCUGCAGAAGGCACAUAUGUUGUCUACAGCUCAACAGGUCUUCAUGCCAGUGCCAACUACAGAUGCAAGAAGGGUUUUCUUGACAGACACGCUGGUGAACAGAUGAUGAGCUUGUGUCAGAAGGAUGGGAACUGGACCAUGGUCAACGUGAAGUGCGUCAACAGGUCUGUCAGCGAUUGGAUGCUCAGACGCCACACGGUCACGGCAAUAGGGAAGACGCGAUGUUCUCCAUCCCCGGAUUUAACACACUCCAAACUGUAACAGGAUCUGCCAACUACUGCCGUGACCCAGAUGGUACAGGGUUUUUAUGGUGUUACACAACGGACCGGAAUUCACGCUGAGAAGAGUGUGAUGUCCAAAGUGUAACCCGCAGUUUUGAGCGGAUUACUAGUACAGUGUUGUGGGUUGGGAGCAAUUCGUGAUUUUGCAACAUUAAAAUCGGUCAGUGUGAAACAAA